AGCUAAGUUGAGGGACCGUGGCCGGGGAGGGAGCGAGUUUGGGGGUUGUGGUGGAGGGGUUUUAUGGCUAGCGCCGGGGCGAGGGCUGUCUGGGAGCAGUUCCCCUUGGCUGGGCAAAGGGAGCGGGUUACAUGUCACCACGAUGCUAGACCGGGCAGGGCAGUUGCAGCCUGUGUUAUGUCUGCGUGUCUCGUCCUGUGUGUCUUAGCCCUUCCUUGGGUCUCAACGCCCUCUUUGCGCUCAAGGGGCACGGCACGCUUCUCGGGCGCCGUCCCUAGGCUCUCGAACGCUGGUACUUGUCAGCGUACCGCCAAUCGGGCGCUUCUUUUCUCCCAUAGCGAGCUUACGGCGUGGAUCAUUCUUGCGUGUUGGAAGUUUCUGGAGGGUCCUCUAUUUGCAGCGCUAUACCAGGCUGCGUCCGGAGCUCUGCUCUCCAGCUAUCCAUUUUCAGGGACUGGGUCUUCCUCCCUGCAUCCUUACCUCCUUAGGUCUUGAAGACGGGCUUGUUGCUGCCCCCAUCAUCUCGGUUUUGACAGUAACUUCUUAUAACGGGCCAUUUACGGUCAAUUCUCUUCUGGGGUUGCCAUAGAGCUUCCUCACCCGGGCGUCGUGCCCUAUAGGUCGCCUUGUUCGGCAGCCUCUCCGGUCCGGGAGUCAUUCCUCUCGCGAAGAGUGUUCUCUCGUUUGUGAGUCGCGUUGUUUGUAGCGUUCUGUGUAGCGUCCGUCUCUGUGUGUGGUGUGUGUGUGUGGAGCUGCUCUGCCCAGGGCUGUCGAGUCGGGGAUAGGCGGAAUAGCAAUAGGAGCGUACGGUUAGCGUGCCGAUACGGCCCGUCCGGAAUUGUUUGGCUCUCACUCGGCAUCUGGGUGACUUGUUUGAUAACUCGGUGUGAUUUUUCCAGAUGCGGACUGGCUAGAUGCCCAACGACGAGCGGCAGAGGAGGAGAGCAGAGCGCCGUAAGAAGGUGGCGGUCAGGCCUCGGCACGGCAGGCCGAAGAAUCCGACUUCGAGCGGCCGAGGAAAAGGGACGGGCGAGAGGAAGGCGUUUCCAAGGAGGGCUUCGUCGCAGCGGAGGUCGACGCCGGGCGGCACGUCGUCGACCGGCGACGCUCUGUCUCGUGAGGGAUGAAGCGGAACCCGGCGGAUGGGGGAGCGUCCCGGUUAGAUGACCUUUUCCCCAUGAGAAGGGAAUCUGGAUUCUGCCCUCUGAAAGCGUUGCAGCGUCAUUUCCGUGAUCUGUGCUUUUUCAUGCGUACGGCGCCUUACGGCAGGUCUCUAGGUUCUGCCGCACGCGCUCGGCGAGCAUCCGCGGGGUCCGCGACGCCUCGUCGCUUCGGAAUACGGCCCGUCGAGCGUUUCUCGUCUCGCGAUCGGAGCUUAAAGCGCACCUCGCAUCGCAGAUGUUUCUGCGAGGUGGCCUUUGCGGAGGCGGUCCGUGCCGGACUCACAGUCGUGCUCUAGAAACUUCCGCCUCAAUUGAAGUUUGAUACCAUCUUUCAUCCCUGUAUGCUGUGGGAUGUCGGACUAGUCUAGUCUUGUUGGUGCCGAAUACAGGGCCAUUUUGACCCAGCAGAAGGGGCCUGGGGGAGUCCAGCUUGGGCGAGAGCAGGGAUUGAGCAACUUGCUUAUCUUGCACUGAUAAGCACCGGACCUGAACAGGGGCAGGAGAUGAGCAAUUUGUUCAUCUUAACAAGAUGCGGCGUCUGACGGGUCUACUCCUUAAUCAACUAAGUGACGCCUGGGGCGAGGGGGAGCCUCCUUCGCAGCUCGACCUUACUUUGGUAAAACUAAACAGACCACCGCUCCUCUGUACCGAACACGUUUGUUCUCCGCCACUUCCCCCCCCCCAGCCCCGACCAACUGCACAACAAGCCUUGUUAAGGGCCAAUCGGCACACAAUACCUGACUUAGUCCCACCUCGCCAAAAGUAUAAAUCUGGCAUUCAGAAUCCUCUUUUUUGAGGACGAGAACUCCAACUAUCCGGACGGGUCGACGGGCCUGGACCUCUCUCUCUCCUCUCCAAGCAGGGACGCCUCUUUGGUAAGACUUGCGCCUCCGAUUAUGUCGGAUGUUACCCUGGGAAAACUAUCAAUAACAAAAGCGCUGAACUAUUAACUUGAGCUCAAAAUUGUUGCAGUAAGUGCAUUUAUCAACGGCAGUUCCAAACUUUUUAUAUCUGUUGCCUCAAUAAACUACCUAUUUUUCUUUUCAACUUUGCGAAACUGUUUCAGUGAAAGUCCUUAGUGGGGCUCUGACAGGCAAACGUUGACUCUGAUAUGUGGCUACACACAUAAUCCUUUAGAUGUAAACCGUUGACCAAGUCUGGGACUAAGACUGGACC
Grus americana (Whooping crane) is the source of this 2339-nucleotide long non-coding RNA. RefSeq lists it as uncharacterized. The record is from RefSeq and is a predicted model, not a curated record. The transcript has 3 exons. Lineage: Eukaryota; Metazoa; Chordata; Aves; Gruiformes; Gruidae.